CGGGUCGGUCGGGCGAUCGCGUCGUUCAUCGGUAGUGCCGCGGUUUCGCGGUCACCCGGUGGCCGCCGAGGAAAGUCCGGACUCCACAGGGCAGCGUGGUGGGUAACGCCCACCCGGGGCAACCCGCGGGACAGUGCCACAGAGAACAGACCGCCAGCGGCUUCGAUGGACCCCGUGGUUCAUCGGAGUGCGGGUGAGGGUGAAACGGUGGUGUAAGAGACCACCAGCUCCCCAGGUGACUGGGGAGGCUCGGUAAACCCCACGUGGAGCAAGGCCAAGAGGGCGGCGGGCAACCGCCGCCUGCGCGAGCGUUCGAGGGCUGCCCGCCCGAGCUCGCGGGUAGGCCGCUAGAGGUGCCCGGCAACGGACACCGUAGAUAGAUGAUCGCCGACCACAGAAUCCGGCUUAAAGACCGGCCCGUUCA
RNAcentral lists this RNase P RNA (424 nucleotides) under Kribbella voronezhensis. Its description in RNAcentral is "Bacterial RNase P class A". It matches the Rfam family "Bacterial RNase P class A". Rfam says of the family: Ribonuclease P (RNase P) is a ubiquitous endoribonuclease, found in archaea, bacteria and eukarya as well as chloroplasts and mitochondria. Lineage: Bacteria; Bacillati; Actinomycetota; Actinomycetes; Propionibacteriales; Kribbellaceae. The record is from Rfam by way of RNAcentral.